Molecule: ribosomal RNA, 449 nt
Filed under: uncultured bacterium
Lineage: Bacteria
Description: partial 16S ribosomal RNA
Rfam family: Bacterial small subunit ribosomal RNA
Source: RNAcentral
GUGGGGAAUAUUGGACAAUGGGCGCAAGCCUGAUCCAGCCAUGCCGCGUGUGUGAAGAAGGCCUUCGGGUUGUAAAGCACUUUUGUUGGGAAAGAAAUCCUGUCGGCUAAUACCCGGCGGGGAUGACGGUACCCAAAGAAUAAGCACCGGCUAACUUCGUGCCAGCAGCCGCGGUAAUACGAAGGGUGCAAGCGUUACUCGGAAUUACUGGGCGUAAAGCGUGCGUAGGUGGUUCGUUAAGUCAGAUGUGAAAGCCCCGGGCUCAACCUGGGAAUUGCAUUUGAUACUGGCGGACUAGAGUGCGGUAGAGGAGAGUGGAAUUCCCGGUGUAGCAGUGAAAUGCGUAGAGAUCGGGAGGAACAUCAGUUGCGAAGGCGGCUCUCUGGACCAGCACUGACACUGAGGCACGAAAGCGUGGGGAGCAAACAGGAUUAGAAACCCCAGUAGUC